GGAGAGGUGGCAGAGUGGUCGAAUGUACCUGACUCGAAAUCAGGCGUACCGCAAGGUACCGAGGGUUCGAAUCCCUCCCUCUCCGCCA
RNAcentral lists this transfer RNA (88 nucleotides) under Burkholderiales bacterium. RNAcentral's name for it is "tRNA-Ser". It matches the Rfam family "tRNA". Rfam says of the family: Transfer RNA (tRNA) molecules are approximately 80 nucleotides in length. Their secondary structure includes four short double-helical elements and three loops (D, anti-codon, and T loops). The record is from RNAcentral. Lineage: Bacteria; Pseudomonadati; Pseudomonadota; Betaproteobacteria; Burkholderiales. RNAcentral also lists the same sequence under 3 other names.